Molecule: ribosomal RNA, 497 nt
Filed under: uncultured bacterium
Lineage: Bacteria
Description: partial 16S ribosomal RNA
Rfam family: Bacterial small subunit ribosomal RNA
Source: RNAcentral
GAUGAACGCUGGCGGCGUGCCUAAUACAUGCAAGUCGAGCGAACAGACGAGGAGCUUGCUCCUCUGACGUUAGCGGCGGACGGGUGAGUAACACGUGGAUAACCUACCUAUAAGACUGGGAUAACUUCGGGAAACCGGAGCUAAUACCGGAUAACAUGUUGAACCGCAUGGUUCAACAGUGAAAGACGGUCUUGCUGUCACUUAUAGAUGGAUCCGCGCCGCAUUAGCUAGUUGGUAAGGUAACGGCUUACCAAGGCAACGAUGCGUAGCCGACCUGAGAGGGGGAUCGGCGACAUGGGAGGUGAGAAGCGGACAGGGCGCCUGCGGGAGGAAGCAGAAGGGAAUCGUCGGCAAUGGGCGAAAGCCUGACGGAGCAAGUGGGCGUGAAUGAAGAAGUUCUUCGGAUCGUAAAACUGUGUUAUUGGGGAAGAACAAAUGUGUAAGUAACUAUGCACGUCUUGACGGUACCUAAUCAGAAAGCCACGGCUAACUACGUG